CGUACGGAUCUUCUAAACAACAAAUCUUCAAUUUCACUCGUCGCCAGUGCGAAUUGUCUUCUGAUAUUUAUUUUACCAUUAACGACAGUUAUUAUAGCGCUUUAUUAUUCGUGUUAAUCGCAAAUUUACCAUCUAAUUCCUCAAUGAAAUUACGGCAACGCGCAAGACUAUGAAGCAGUCCUUUAUAAGGAGAACAGAUUUGGAACUUUUUACUGUUUACGUGUUACCUUCUUACCAAGUGAUAGUAGUAAGUGCUUUUACAAUUUAAAUCAAAUGAAAGUACGUGUAUGCCCCAAUUUGCCGAGGGGUGGCCGCUAAGCGAUCCCUAAAGGAAAAUUGGCACAAAAUGUACCGGCCAAACCACGCUCUCUUUUCACCCAACAUUGACACCGUUAUUCAGAGUGGUGGUGCGAAUAAAGAAUCUCCCCAUAACAGCAUCCUGAUUAGUCGAUUGAUGAAGCAAGCAUCUCGACCUUUCAGUGAUUACAACAGUCUGUGAUAAGAACAGUCCCUUUGCAAUGGUCUGGAGUUAUUUAAAAGUAAACAUCAGUAUUAAAAAUCGUAUUACUAUUAUAUUAUUUAUUUAUGUAUUUAUUGUUCUUGUUGCUGUAUUGCUACAAAAUGUUUAUGAGUGUUUAAUGUUAAUGAUGUAUAAGUGCG
Molecule: unclassified non-coding RNA, 660 nt
Filed under: Agrilus planipennis (emerald ash borer)
Lineage: Eukaryota; Metazoa; Arthropoda; Insecta; Coleoptera; Buprestidae
Description: uncharacterized LOC108738472, transcript variant X1
Source: RNAcentral